Long non-coding RNA from Pogoniulus pusillus (Red-fronted tinkerbird), 2796 nucleotides. RefSeq lists it as uncharacterized. The record is from RefSeq and is a predicted model, not a curated record. Lineage: Eukaryota; Metazoa; Chordata; Aves; Piciformes; Lybiidae. The transcript is spliced from 3 exons.
AGGGAGCAAAGCCUGCGCUGGCUGUGGAGGAGCAGGGAGCCAGCCAGAGCUGCAGUCGGAACGCAGGGGUGUGCCCGUAGCUCGGUGCGGCUCCACCAGCUUGUCCCGCUGGAGCACUCCAGUCUCUUACUGAGUGUAUCGUUCUGGCCGCAUCACUUCAGUCUUGUGUCAGCUUCAGAACCACAGGUCCUGGCCAAAGCUGUGCUUCGUCAGUGGGCUGCAAGUAGUUAACUAAGUGAAUCUGUUUCUUCGGUCGAGCUCUCGAAGUGUGAAGUCUAUAGAUGUUUUAGCUGAGAAUCAACAAUUCCUUUUACAUCUUCAUCCAGCAGACCAAAAAUGCGUUUCUAAAAUAACGUUCCUUGAUCUUAGAUUUCAAGCUCCUUCAGAAGGAUUCUCCUUUCUCACCUCCAAGUGCCAACUUUGCGCCCAGCAUGAGCCCUGGGGCAGACCGGUGCUGCUGUGGAGCUGCCACAGCCUCAGCCAGCCGCUGCAGUGAUGGAGAAGUGCCUGCGCGACUGCAAAAUCCACUCCUGAGCUCUGGAUUUCUUCCAGUUCUUCGGCAGCCACUCCCACCCAAAGCCUGUUUGUGCCGGAUUGCCCUCCCGGUGCCAUUUGCAGGGGUGACAGACACAUCAGCCAGGGCUGGGGUGAGGCCAGCCUGGGCACCGGCUGCAGCCCGGCCGCGAUGAUUUACGGCCGCUGGCCGCGGCGAGGAUGGUUUGCGGCUCUGACCUGAUUGUGACCCCAGCAGAUAGCGAGGCAACGUUCGGGCGAAACACAAACAAGAGGUUAAAUGCUCCAGUUCUCAGCUUAGACAGAGCCAAUCACUCUGAGGAGCUCUGUCCCCCCUCUUUAAUUGGUUCUUUAUUCCAUGCAGUAUUUCUUGCGCUGCUCUCUCCCUCCCGCGCCCGUAGACGCAGACUCACCCACCCCCUCUUUAAAACAGCUUCACAGCAGCCACUUUAGAGCCAGGCAGCAGCUCUCCUCUGGAGCUCUUUCCCACCAGCUGGGUAACGUCUCCAGCACCCCUGUUCAGUCUCUCGCGGGUCUCAGCGCUCGCCGUCCCGGGCUGCAGACGCCCUUGCCCUGUUUUUCCGUGGGGAGCGCUGAGCCCGGCAGAGGGCUCCGGGUUUGGCAGCUCUCAGCCUGGUCUCAGCGUGGGUACUACCAAGGCAUCCCUCCCUCCCAGCUUGCUGAGUCCUCUGUGGAAACACGAAUGAGUCACAGACAAUAUGUUGCAGAUCAGCAGCGAGCUGAGUGUGUGUGCCAGGGUAGUCGGAAAGCACAGGAGCGUUGCGUUUGUCUCUGCCCUCAGCAGGAGGAAGGAGGAGGAGGAAAGCUGCAAGUGCCUCCCAAACUGCUGGCUGCUCCAUCUCCUUCUGUGCUUCCCAGCGGUAGAGAUAGAGCACCAAAGAAAGAGAUUGAUGGUGGAGGCUGGAGGGGAGCCCUGGAGAUCGUCUAGUCCAGUCCCCUUGCUAAAGCAGGUUCUUGCAGAGUGGGUUGCCCAGGGUCAGGUCUGGGUGAGUCUGGAAUCUCUCCAGACAAGAAUCAAAUGUGAACGUUUAACAGCGUCCAGAGAAAGUCACUUUCUGCCUGCCUACACAGUGUCUCUUCUGGUGUCCUUCUGGAACAUGCAUCUGGUAAAGGUCAAACUGGAAAUCCUUAAAGUUUGUCCUGAUGAGGGUGACAAAAUCUAUUGAGCUAACCCCUGCAGGAAAGGGUUAAAAUAACCAGUAUUUAACUGGGCACAGCUCUGCACAUACUCACUGCACAGCUGAUCAGCUGGCUGGGGCAGGUUGGUGACAGGUCCAAGAUCAGACAGACAAUUGGAGGGGGUUUAUGCUAAACAGGACCAGCUGGGAAUGAUCCAAAGUGAUUUUGUGUGGCCAAACUUCUCUGACUCUGCAGGGAGGGAAGGCAGGAGGCAAACCCAGGUGUCCUCACUUGGAGCUGUGUUGGGCUGCUCCUGCUGAUGAAUGAGCACAGGACAUAAAUGGUGAACUUUGAUUAAUUCCCAGUGUCCAAAACCUGCUAGAACUUGGCCAUUUGGCCUCAUUGAAAGUGGCACUCAGAUGUCACCGUGAUAGGAAAAGCAGAAACCAGCUCCAGCAGCAGUGGCUGUAAAACAUCAGGAGCAGAAAGUGACAGCUCAGAGUCAUCUCCCUCCCCACCCCUGAAGGAAUACGCCAGCAUAAAGCUGCCCAGCACGAAGGGACCUGCUCACGAGUUCCAUCAACAGAGCUGUGAUGAAUGGAGCUAAAUGAACUGAGGCAGUCCAUAAAAAAAGUGUUUGCUUUCUUUUUUAGACCUGGAAUCGGAGUUUAUGAAGUGAUUGUUCAAGAUAAAUAGGAGCUGCUGUGAGAAGUUCAAACCAGUUUAGGAAACGACCUGUCCCAACCCACCCGUGGUGAUUUUUUUCCCCUCUGAGAGCGAGGUCCUCACCGUGCCACACCGCGCGAUGGUGAAGCAGGUCUGAAGCCUCAGCUCUCGAAGUCACUUCCAGUGGGCCAGGGCAAGGAUCAAGGACUUUGCUGCCACUGCAGGGACCUUGGGCUUCGCUGGCAGCCACCAGGGCUGUUCAUCACCGUCAUCUCCCUGUGCCUCGGCUCAGCCCCCAGCCCCUGCUCCAGGUUCAUUGGCAUGCAGAGCCCAGCAGGAACAAAGGCACACAGAAGGAUUCUGCCUCAUCUCUGCGAGUCCAGAAGUGAAGUGGAGUUUGCCUUGUUCUGCGGCCGCAGUCCCCCAGGACGUGGGGAAUGGUUAUUAAACAGCCCAGGGAGCAGUGUCUAACCUUGA